RNAcentral lists this unclassified non-coding RNA (332 nucleotides) under soil metagenome. RNAcentral's name for it is "partial contains 5.8S ribosomal RNA, internal transcribed spacer 2, and large subunit ribosomal RNA". The stretch from base 1 to 120 matches the Rfam family "5.8S ribosomal RNA", at positions 35 to 154 of the family's 154-position model. The record is from RNAcentral.
GAUGAAGAACGCAGCAAAAUGCGAUAAGUAAUGUGAAUUGCAGAAUUCAGUGAAUCAUCGAAUCUUUGAACGCACAUUGCGCCCGCCAGUAUUCUGGCGGGCAUGCCUGUUCGAGCGUCAUUUCAACCCUCAAGCACAGCUUGGUGUUGGGACUCGCGUUAAUUCGCGUUCCUCAAAUUGAUUGGCGGUCACGUCGAGCUUCCAUAGCGUAGUAGUAAAACCCUCGUUACUGGUAAUCGUCGCGGCCACGCCGUUAAACCCCAACUUCUGAAUGUUGACCUUGGAUCAGGUAGGAAUACCCGCUGAACUUAAGCAUAUCAAUAAGCGGAGGA